GUCCAGGUGGCAUAGUGUUCAAUGCAUCUGCCUAGUAAGCAGGAGACCUGGGUUUGAAUCCCAGUCUGGCACA
This 73-nucleotide transfer RNA is filed under the name Schistocerca americana (American grasshopper). RNAcentral describes it as "tRNA-Thr". It matches the Rfam family "tRNA". Rfam says of the family: Transfer RNA (tRNA) molecules are approximately 80 nucleotides in length. Lineage: Eukaryota; Metazoa; Arthropoda; Insecta; Orthoptera; Acrididae. RNAcentral also lists the same sequence under 1 other name. The record is from RNAcentral.